UCGUAACAAGGUUUCCGUAGGUGAACCUGCGGAAGGAUCAUUACCGAGUGAGGGCCCUCUGGGUCCAACCUCCCACCCGUGUUUAUUUUACCUUGUUGCUUCGGCGAGCCUGCCUUUUGGCUGCCGGGGGACGUCUGUCCCCGGGUCCGCGCUCGCCGAAGACACCUUAGAACUCUGUCUGAAGAUUGUAGUCUGAGAUUAAAUAUAAAUUAUUUAAAACUUUCAACAACGGAUCUCUUGGUUCCGGCAUCGAUGAAGAACGCAGCGAAAUGCGAUACGUAAUGUGAAUUGCAGAAUUCAGUGAAUCAUCGAGUCUUUGAACGCACAUUGCGCCCUCUGGUAUUCCGGAGGGCAUGCCUGUCCGAGCGUCAUUGCUGCCCUCAAGCACGGCUUGUGUGUUGGGCUCCGUCCUCCUUCCGGGGGACGGGCCCGAAAGGCAGCGGCGGCACCGCGUCCGGUCCUCAAGCGUAUGGGGCUUUGUCACCCGCUUUGUAGGACUGGCCGGCGCCUGCCGAUCAACCAAACUUUUUUCCAGGUUGACCUCGGAUCAGGUAGGGAUACCCGCUGAACCUAAGCAUAUCA
Molecule: unclassified non-coding RNA, 582 nt
Filed under: Penicillium brevicompactum
Lineage: Eukaryota; Fungi; Ascomycota; Eurotiomycetes; Eurotiales; Aspergillaceae
Description: sequence contains 18S rRNA gene, ITS1, 5.8S rRNA gene, ITS2, 28S rRNA gene
Rfam family: 5.8S ribosomal RNA (bases 218-371)
Source: RNAcentral